RNAcentral lists this transfer RNA (76 nucleotides) under Candidatus Uhrbacteria bacterium CG10_big_fil_rev_8_21_14_0_10_48_11. RNAcentral's name for it is "tRNA-Ala". It matches the Rfam family "tRNA". Rfam says of the family: Transfer RNA (tRNA) molecules are approximately 80 nucleotides in length. Their secondary structure includes four short double-helical elements and three loops (D, anti-codon, and T loops). Further hydrogen bonds mediate the characteristic L-shaped molecular structure. tRNAs have two regions of fundamental functional importance: the anti-codon, which is responsible for specific mRNA codon recognition, and the 3' end, to which the tRNAs corresponding amino acid is attached (by aminoacyl-tRNA synthetases). tRNAs cope with the degeneracy of the genetic code in two manners: having more than one tRNA (with a specific anti-codon) for a particular amino acid; and 'wobble' base-pairing, i.e. permitting non-standard base-pairing at the 3rd anti-codon position. RNAcentral also lists the same sequence under 1 other name. The record is from RNAcentral. Lineage: Bacteria; Candidatus Uhriibacteriota.
GGGCUCGUAGCUCAGUUGGUAGAGCGCUCGGUUUGCAUCCGAGAGGUCAGGGGUUCGAAUCCCCUCGAGUCCACCA